This 165-nucleotide ribosomal RNA is filed under the name Cylindrospermopsis raciborskii S01. RNAcentral's name for it is "partial 23S ribosomal RNA". It matches the Rfam family "Bacterial large subunit ribosomal RNA", at positions 2762 to 2925 of the family's 2925-position model. The record is from RNAcentral. Lineage: Bacteria; Bacillati; Cyanobacteriota; Cyanophyceae; Nostocales; Aphanizomenonaceae.
GGAUAACCGCUGAAAGCAUCUAAGUGGGAAGCCCACCUUAAGAUGAGUGUUCUCACUACGAGAGUAGGUAAGGUCACGGGGAGAACACCCGUUAAUAGGCUUUAUGUGGAAGUACAGUAAUGUAUGUAGCAGAGAAGUCCUAACAGACCGAGGGCUUGACCUCAG